RNAcentral lists this ribosomal RNA (503 nucleotides) under uncultured bacterium. Its description in RNAcentral is "bacterial SSU rRNA". It matches the Rfam family "Bacterial small subunit ribosomal RNA", at positions 29 to 523 of the family's 1533-position model. The record is from RNAcentral.
AACGAACGCUGGCGGCGUGUUUAAGACAUGCAAGUCGCACGGGGCAGGUUGAGUAGCAAUACGAGAUCUGUUCAGUGGCGCACGGGUGAGUAACACGUGAAUUACAUGCCCUUCAGUGGGGAAUAGCCCAGGGAAACUUGGAUUAAUACCCCAUGGUCUCGCAAGAGUAAAGGUGGCCGCAAGGCUGUCGCUGAAGGAUUGGUUCGCGCCCUAUCAGCUUGUUGGUGAGGUAACGGCUCACCAAGGCUACGACGGGUACCUGGUCUGAGAGGACGAUCAGGCACACUGGAACUGAGACACGGUCCAGACACCUACGGGUGGCAGCAGUCGAGAAUAAUUCACAAUGGGGGCAACCCUGAUGGUGCAACGCCGCGUGGAGGAUGACGGUCUUCGGAUUGUAAACUCCUGUCAUCUGGGAGUAGGACCUGGCCGUUAAUAGCGGACAGGGUUGAUAGUACCAGAAGAGGAAGGGACGGCUAACUUCGUGCCAGCAGCCGCGGUAA